AUACGUAGGGGGCAAGCGUUAUCCGGAAUUACUGGGUGUAAAGGGAGAGUAGGCGGCAUGAUAAGUUAGAUGUGAAAGACCUUGGGCUUAACCCGAGGAUUGCAUUUAAAACUAUCAAGCUAGAGUACAGGAGAGGUAAGUGGAAUUCCUAGUGUAGCGGUGAAGUGCGUAGAUAUUAGGAAGAACACCAGUGGCGAAGGCGACUUACUGGACUGAAACUGACGCUGAGGCUCGAAAGCGUGGGGAGGC
RNAcentral lists this ribosomal RNA (249 nucleotides) under uncultured bacterium. Its description in RNAcentral is "partial 16S ribosomal RNA". It matches the Rfam family "Bacterial small subunit ribosomal RNA", at positions 523 to 770 of the family's 1533-position model. The record is from RNAcentral.